CCUACGGGUGGCAGCAGUGAGGAAUAUUGGUCAAUGGACGAGAGUCUGAACCAGCCAAGUCGCGUGAAGGAUGACUGCCCUAUGGGUUGUAAACUUCUUUUAUAUGGGAAUAAAAUGUUCCACGUGUGGUCUUUUGUAUGUACCAUAUGAAUAAGGAUCGGCUAACUCCGUGCCAGCCGCCGCGGUAAUACGGAGGAUCCGAGCGUUAUCCGGAUUUAUUGGGUUUAAAGGGUGCGUAGGGGGACUGUUAAGUCCGCGGUGAAAGUUUGCGGCUCAACCGUAGAAUUGCCGUUGAAACUGGCAGGCUUGAGUACGGUAGAGGCGGGCGGAAUGCGUGGUGUAGCGGUGAAAUGCAUAGAUAUCACGCAGAACCCCGAUUGCGAAGGCAGCCUACUGGACCGCAACUGACACUGAGGCACGAAAGCGUGGGGAUCAAACAGGAUUAGAUACCCGAGUAGUC
RNAcentral lists this ribosomal RNA (460 nucleotides) under uncultured bacterium. Its description in RNAcentral is "partial 16S ribosomal RNA". It matches the Rfam family "Bacterial small subunit ribosomal RNA", at positions 338 to 795 of the family's 1533-position model. The record is from RNAcentral.